Molecule: transfer RNA, 77 nt
Filed under: Gammaproteobacteria bacterium
Lineage: Bacteria; Pseudomonadati; Pseudomonadota; Gammaproteobacteria
Description: tRNA-Met
Rfam family: tRNA
About the family: Transfer RNA (tRNA) molecules are approximately 80 nucleotides in length. Their secondary structure includes four short double-helical elements and three loops (D, anti-codon, and T loops). Further hydrogen bonds mediate the characteristic L-shaped molecular structure. tRNAs have two regions of fundamental functional importance: the anti-codon, which is responsible for specific mRNA codon recognition, and the 3' end, to which the tRNAs corresponding amino acid is attached (by aminoacyl-tRNA synthetases). tRNAs cope with the degeneracy of the genetic code in two manners: having more than one tRNA (with a specific anti-codon) for a particular amino acid; and 'wobble' base-pairing, i.e. permitting non-standard base-pairing at the 3rd anti-codon position.
Source: RNAcentral
CGCGGGAUGGAGCAGCAUGGUAUCUCGUCGGGCUCAUAACCCGAAGGUCGUCGGUUCAAAUCCGGCUCCCGCAACCA